This 97-nucleotide ribosomal RNA is filed under the name Clostridiales bacterium. The record is from RNAcentral. Lineage: Bacteria; Bacillati; Bacillota; Clostridia; Eubacteriales.
GGCCACACCUGUUCCCAUUCCGAACACAGAAGUUAAGCUCCCACGCGCCGACAAUACUUGGCUGGCAACGGCCUGGGAAGAUAGGUCACUGCCGGAU